AAGGACUAAUCAUGCCAUUAAAGCCAAUAAUAUGUGCCCUUCAUCCAUUGAUCUUAGCUACUUCUGUCCUCAGAAGUAUGCAACCACUUACAUCCACUUUACAACAUUCACUAUGUGCUACUUUUGUUCCUAGAAGUACCACCCACAUAUACGCACUAUACUCUGUGUUGUUUCUAUCCUGGAGACACGCAUCUAUGCUGCUCCUACCCUGGGAGUACACAUUCACCCAUACACAUUCCACGUCCACUCAGAAAAUGUUCUACUCCACACUGGGAGAAGACACUCAAAAAUAUUCAUUGCCAUUAUAUCUUUUUCUACUUAUCCAAUAGAGCUCCAGUUAUUUUAGUUGAUACUCCCUACUGCUAUCAGUGCAUUAAAAGGGUUGGCUGAUUUAUAAAAAAAGAAGAAAAAGAGAAAAGAAAAGAAAGAGGACAAAAGUCCCAAAAGAAGAGAAAAAUAGCCGAGUCCUUGUUUCCAAAUUAGGGAGGUAUGUUAUCCCCAAGGAGCAAUUGUAGAAUUAGAUUUUCACCAUCAAUCAUCACCCCUCAUUAUCACCAUCAUUCUUAUCAUUCAUUUCAUUCACUGCACUCAUAUGCACAUAUGACUUGAUUGUAUUAUGAGUUUCUCUAGAUCCAUGGUUUAACUAUGCAAUACAUGUAAGUAGGUUUGAAUUAUCUUUCUGUUGAUGCAAAAGCUGAUCUGCAAACACAAAGGGCUAAUACCUGAUUUAAACGUUAAGGCAUGCCAGCCGAUUUGACCUUACUAUCGGCAAAGGUGGUAACUCGAAUACUUUGGUCCCGACAACAGCGAUGCGCCCGGAUGUCACGGCCAAGAGGUAUUCACGC
This 845-nucleotide long non-coding RNA is filed under the name Sorghum bicolor (sorghum). RNAcentral's name for it is "long non-coding RNA (SBIC_LNC017969)". The record is from RNAcentral. Lineage: Eukaryota; Viridiplantae; Streptophyta; Magnoliopsida; Poales; Poaceae.